RNAcentral lists this long non-coding RNA (297 nucleotides) under Elaeis guineensis (African oil palm). RNAcentral's name for it is "long non-coding RNA (EGUI_LNC050665)". Lineage: Eukaryota; Viridiplantae; Streptophyta; Magnoliopsida; Arecales; Arecaceae. The record is from RNAcentral.
AUCAAUGCCAUACCUGACUGGUCUAUGGAUGGUAUGCUGGGGCUUGUGUAGUGCCACUCCUACUGGUGCAUUCCUUCCAUCUGAUGUCUGUGGCUCCUCCUAAAGAAAACAUCGAUAGUUCUAUGUAUGCAAUUUUAAAAAUUUUAGCAGAAGUAGGUUAGAUUAAACUAUUUAAUCUACAUUACAUGCAUAAGAUUAUAUCUAAACUACCAAUUAAGAAUCUAUGACAUGAGUUUACAUGCAAUUAAAAUAUGAAAUUAAAGAAAUCUUGCAUCGAUCAUAUCGACGCACUUGAUC